RNAcentral lists this long non-coding RNA (202 nucleotides) under Vigna radiata. Its description in RNAcentral is "long non-coding RNA (VRAD_LNC016698)". Lineage: Eukaryota; Viridiplantae; Streptophyta; Magnoliopsida; Fabales; Fabaceae. The record is from RNAcentral.
GAAUUAUCAAACUGAUCCAACUUUAUUGGGCUUGAGGCCCAUCAUGUCGCAAAUGCGAAUAAAUGAACAAUAUCAUAUAUCACGUAUCAAAUAAUAUCUCAAUAGAGAUAUAUCAGGUAAGUUUGUUUAUAUUUUAUUCUGUUUAUAUUUUAUUAUGUGCUAUUGAUCUCAUAUCAAUCCAAAGCCUAUAAAUAAAGAACUA